Molecule: unclassified non-coding RNA, 252 nt
Filed under: Hevea brasiliensis (rubber tree)
Lineage: Eukaryota; Viridiplantae; Streptophyta; Magnoliopsida; Malpighiales; Euphorbiaceae
Source: RNAcentral
GGGGAAAAAAAUGAGGUUACAGUCAAUUACUCUUCUUACUAUACCAAAAUUGAAAAGCUGUAGUAAUUCAGAAAGUGCACAUGAAAAAAACCUUUCAAUACAAAAACAUUAGUGUGACAUCAGUUGUCUAUUAGAUCACACUUGAUCACAAAUCAAUUUGGAUUUGCAAUCCUGUUAAUAUCAUUAUAAUUUAUUAUUCACUCAAUAUUUUUUUAACCAAAAAGACAACCACCAAAAGUAUUUAAAAAAAAA